CGCCACCAUGCCCGGCUAAUUUUUCUACUCCUAGGAGAGGUGGGGUUUCAUCAUGUUGGCCAGGCUGGUCUCAAACUCCUGACCUCAGAUGAUCCGCCUGCCUCGGACUCCCAAAGUCCUGGGAUUACAGGCAUGAGCCACCAUGCCCGGCCAACAGUAUCUUUCACAGAGCAGAAAGUUUUAAAUUUUAAUGAAGUAUUACUUAAUUUUUUU
RNAcentral lists this long non-coding RNA (213 nucleotides) under Homo sapiens (human). RNAcentral's name for it is "non-protein coding lnc-ATE1-1:1". The record is from RNAcentral. Lineage: Eukaryota; Metazoa; Chordata; Mammalia; Primates; Hominidae.